UCCACGCCGUAAACGAUGAUUACUCGUUGUCUGCGAUAUACUGUAGGCGACUGAGCGAAAGCAUUAAGUAAUCCACCUGGGGAGUACGUUCGCAAGAAUGAAACUCAAAGGAAUUGACGGGGGCCCGCACAAGCGGAGGAACAUGUGGUUUAAUUCGAUGAUACGCGAGGAACCUUACCCGGGUUUAAAUGCAGGACGAAACUCUGAGAAAUCAGAGCCCCUUCGGGCGGACU
RNAcentral lists this ribosomal RNA (233 nucleotides) under uncultured bacterium. RNAcentral describes it as "partial 16S ribosomal RNA". It matches the Rfam family "Bacterial small subunit ribosomal RNA", at positions 794 to 1032 of the family's 1533-position model. The record is from RNAcentral.